Molecule: ribosomal RNA, 253 nt
Filed under: uncultured bacterium
Lineage: Bacteria
Description: partial 16S ribosomal RNA
Rfam family: Bacterial small subunit ribosomal RNA
Source: RNAcentral
UACGUAGGGGGCAAGUGUUGUCCGGAAUCAUUGGGCGUAAAGCGCGGGUAGGCGGCCCGGUAAGUCCGCUGUGAAAGUCGGGGGCUCAACCCUCGGAUGCCGGUGGAUACUGUCGGGCUAGAGUGCGGAAGAGGCGAGUGGAAUUCCUGGUGUAGCGGUGAAAUGCGCAGAUAUCAGGAGGAACACCAAUUGCGAAGGCAGCUCGCUGGGACGUUACUGACGCUGAGACGCGAAAGCGCGGGGAGCAAACAGG